ACGUAGGUGACAAGCGUUGUCCGGAUUUACUGGGCGUAAAGAGCGCGCAGGCGGUCGUUCAAGUCGAGUGUGAAAGCCCCCGGCUCAACUGGGGAGGGUCAUUCGAUACUGAUCGACUCGAAGGCAGGAGAGGGUAGUGGAAUUCCUGGUGUAGCGGUGAAAUGCGCAGAUAUCAGGAAGAACACCAAUGGCGAAAGCAGCUUUCUGGGACGGUACUGACGCUGAGACGCGAAAGCGUGGGGAGCAAACAGGA
RNAcentral lists this ribosomal RNA (253 nucleotides) under uncultured prokaryote. Its description in RNAcentral is "partial 16S ribosomal RNA". It matches the Rfam family "Bacterial small subunit ribosomal RNA", at positions 525 to 777 of the family's 1533-position model. The record is from RNAcentral.